GACGAACGCUGGCGGCGUGCUUAACACAUGCAAGUCGAACGGAAAGGCCCUGCUUUUGUGGGGUGCUCGAGUGGCGAACGGGUGAGUAACACGUGAGUAACCUGCCCUUGACUUUGGGAUAACUUCAGGAAACUGGGGCUAAUACCGGAUAGGAGCUCCUGCUGCAUGGUGGGGGUUGGAAAGUUUAGGCGGUUGGGGCUGGACUGUGGGCUUAUGAGCUUGUUGGUGGGGUAGUGGCUUACCAAGGGUUUGACGGGUGGCCGGCGUGAGAGGGUGGCCGGGCACCUUGGGACUGAGAUACGGACCAGACUCCUACGGGAGGCAGCAGUGGGGAAUCUGGCACAAUGGGCGGAAGCCUGAUGCAGCAACGUCGCGUGCGGGAUGACGGCCUUCGGGUUGUAAACCGCUUUCGCCUGUGACGAAGCGUGAGUGACGGUAAUGGGUAAAGAAGCACCGGCUAACUACGUG
RNAcentral lists this ribosomal RNA (468 nucleotides) under uncultured bacterium. RNAcentral describes it as "partial 16S ribosomal RNA". It matches the Rfam family "Bacterial small subunit ribosomal RNA", at positions 28 to 507 of the family's 1533-position model. The record is from RNAcentral.